This 320-nucleotide ribosomal RNA is filed under the name Cercomonas sp. RNAcentral describes it as "SSU rRNA". The stretch from base 103 to 320 matches the Rfam family "Eukaryotic small subunit ribosomal RNA", at positions 736 to 955 of the family's 1831-position model. The record is from RNAcentral. Lineage: Eukaryota; Cercozoa; Cercomonadida; Cercomonadidae.
GAUUUCUGGUUCGGCGCACUUGGCCCGCUCCGGUUACGGAGUUGUGUGCCGGUGUGCGCCAUCCAUCCUUCUAGAGUACGACUCUCCCUUCACUGGGUUGGGCCGGAAUCUAGAUCAUUUACUUUGAAAAAAUUAGAGUGUUUAAAGCAGGCUUACGCUAUGAAUACAUUAGCAUGGAAUAAUAAUUUAGGACUUUGGUCUUAUUUUGUUGGUUUCUAGGACUAAAGUAAUGAUUGAUAGGGAUAGUUGGGGGUGCUAGUAUUCAGCGGCCAGAGGUGAAAUUCUUGGAUUCGCUGAAGACUAACUUAUGCGAAAGCAUU